CCUACGGGAGGCAGCAGUGAGGAAUAUUGGUCAAUGGACGAGAGUCUGAACCAGCCAAGUAGCGUGAAGGAUGACUGCCCUAUGGGUUGUAAACUUCUUUUAUAUGGGAAUAAAAUGUUCCACGUGUGGGAUUUUGUAUGUACCAUAUGAAUAAGGAUCGGCUAACUCCGUUCCAGCAGCCGCGGUAAUACGGAGGAUCCGAGCGUUACCCGGAUUUAGUGGGUUUAAAGGGAGCGUAGGUGGAUUGUUAAGUCAGUUGUGAAAGUUUGCGGCUCAACCGUAAAAUUGCAGUUGAAACUGGCAGUCUUGAGUACAGUAGAGGUGGGCGGAAUUCGUGGUGUAGCGGUGAAAUGCGUAGAUAUCACGAAGAACUCCGAUUGCGAAGGCAGCUCACUGGACUGCAACUGACACUGAGGCUCGAAAGUGUGGGUAUCAAACAGGAUUAGAUACCCCUGUAGUC
RNAcentral lists this ribosomal RNA (460 nucleotides) under uncultured bacterium. Its description in RNAcentral is "partial 16S ribosomal RNA". It matches the Rfam family "Bacterial small subunit ribosomal RNA", at positions 338 to 795 of the family's 1533-position model. The record is from RNAcentral.